CAGCCGUAAACUAUGCGCGUUAGGUGUAUCGGUGACCACGAGUUACCGAGGUGCCGAAGGGAAACCGUGAAACGUGCCGCCUGGGAAGUACGGUCGCAAGGCUGAAACUUAAAGGAAUUGGCGGGGGGAGCACCACAACGGGUGGAGCCUGCGGUUUAAUUGGACUCAACGCCGGGAUGCUCACCGGAUAGGACAGCAGAAUGAUUGCCGGGCUGAAGACCCUGCAUGACUAGCUGAGAGGAGGUGCAUGGCGUAGACGUCU
RNAcentral lists this ribosomal RNA (262 nucleotides) under uncultured archaeon. Its description in RNAcentral is "partial 16S ribosomal RNA". It matches the Rfam family "Archaeal small subunit ribosomal RNA", at positions 748 to 1009 of the family's 1478-position model. The record is from RNAcentral.